RNAcentral lists this unclassified non-coding RNA (1694 nucleotides) under Bactrocera tryoni. Its description in RNAcentral is "zZ-type zinc finger-containing protein 3, transcript variant X1". The record is from RNAcentral. Lineage: Eukaryota; Metazoa; Arthropoda; Insecta; Diptera; Tephritidae.
GGGAAAACGCUGGUAACACUGAUUUUAGAACACAAAAGACUUGCCAUACGAAUCACUUCUUUAAAAACUGCUCUUUUUUUGUCGCUUCAGAUGAAGUAAAUGUGUUGCCACUACAGUUACGAUAUUCAAUACGAUCUACAGCCGUCAAUUAUUGCACAAUAUUAGUGCACAGCUGAUUAGUUGCUCACGCUCUAGCAGCUGGAAUUGAGAAGUUUCCGUCUAAUUUUACUAAAAGUGAAUUUUUGUUAAUAUUCGCAAUAUUUACGAUUUAAAAUGGACGAAAGUGAUAGUUGUGAAGAUGAUAAUACGUUCUAUUUUGAAAGUGAUCAUCUAGCUUUACGUGGUAAUGCCGAUUACACAAAUAUGCUGCGCACUAUAGCCGUGCUGGAGGUGCAAAGAAUGCGCGUGCACAAACAGUUAGAGGAGUUGGAAUUGGCGAGACAACGUUAUUUAAAUGAUCCAGAGUUACUGCUGCAAAAACUGCGGAAUAAUGAAGAAAUUAUAGCGCCAAAUUAUAUGACCAUUGAAAAGUUGCCCGAAAUUACCACCAAUUUGGACUUGCUACCGCCUGUAGACAUCAAAAUCAAAGAAGAGUCUGAUCCUGAUACAAAACCCGCAACAGUGCGUGGGCGCGUUGUAGACGAGUCUAAGCCCGAGACAUUUAAUCAGUUGUGGUCGUGCGAAGAGCAACGUCGCCUAGAAGAAUUGCUUAUCGAAUAUCCGGCUGAAGCGAUUGAAAGUCGUCGUUAUGUAAAAAUUGCCAAAGCUUUGGGCAAUCGUACACCACAACAGGUGUGUAGUCGUGUGCAAAAGUAUUUUCAAAAAUUACACGAUGCUGGUUUGCCCAUACCCGGACGUCGGCCAAAAAAUCGGCGCGGUGGACAAUCGAAAGCGAAGCAUUUCUUUCGGCCGACCACUUUCUUCCCAGCCUUUAAUGUGCCUGUACAUAUGCCGGAAGAUGACUUUUUAAUGGGUGAUUUACCAACGUCAAGUUCGCCAUUGCCAACAGACGCGCGUAAAGUCUUAACGGAAACGCCACUAGAAGAUGCCAUUGCGAACGGUAUUGAGGUGCAAAACGAUGACGACCGUGAACGUAUAAUAAAAAUAUUGACAAUGAUAAAGGAUGAAAAGUUGAAAACACCUGAAGGAUAUAAUCCAGAUCCAUUGGCGGCCAUGUGUGAAACAUGUCGCGUUACCGCCAUUUCACGUUUACGUUUUCGUUGCAAUACCUGUUAUAUAUAUUUGAAUCAAUGUUCCGAUUGUAUUGUGACCCAAUUGCUGGCGCACAACUUCGAGCAUCUGUCACACGAUGUGGUGACCGAGAGUGAUUUGUAGCAGUCACAAAAGUGAGGUGACUGCCCGUACGCCUGUGUUUAAUGUUUAAGCAAUAACCAUUUUCACCAAAAUCACACAUAUAGUUUUAUAUUAAAUUUAUAUUUUUAUUUAAUCGUUAUUUAAAUUCGGUUCUAAGUUCACUAAACGCUGCAAAAAUAUUAAAAUUUCGAUGGUUUCGGUUAAAGAACUAAUUUGAAGAAUAAUAUAGUUACUUGUAAGCAUUCAUGCAGACACCGUGUGUGCAAAGCCUCAAAAGCCGCAUGAAAUUCUAAUUAUCGACAUUUUUCUUCAAUCCAAUCAAGUAUUGAAGCAGUUGAAAUACACUCAUACAAAACUAUUCAUUCAUCAGUUCAUUUCAA